CCGGAAUGGACAAACCACUGGUGCACCAGUUGUUCCGCCAGGAGCAUAGCUGGGUAGCUAAGUUUGGAAAGGAUAAGUGCUGAAGGCAUCUAAGCACGAAGCCCCCUUCAAGAUAAGAUAUCUCACCGAAAGGUUAAGGUCCCUGGUAGACGACCAGGUAGAUAGGCUGGAUGUGGAAGUAUGGCAACAUAUGGAGCUGACCAGUACUAAUCGACCGAGGUCUUGAUCCAAA
Molecule: ribosomal RNA, 232 nt
Filed under: Acetobacterium tundrae
Lineage: Bacteria; Bacillati; Bacillota; Clostridia; Eubacteriales; Eubacteriaceae
Description: partial 23S ribosomal RNA
Rfam family: Bacterial large subunit ribosomal RNA
Source: RNAcentral